RNAcentral lists this ribosomal RNA (250 nucleotides) under uncultured bacterium. RNAcentral's name for it is "partial 16S ribosomal RNA". It matches the Rfam family "Bacterial small subunit ribosomal RNA", at positions 524 to 773 of the family's 1533-position model. The record is from RNAcentral.
UACGGAGGGUGCAAGCGUUGUCCGGAUUUAUUGGGUUUAAAGGGUGCGUAGGCGGCCCAUUAAGUCAGCGGUGAAAGCCCGGGGCUCAACCCCGGAACCGCCGUUGAUACUGGUGGGCUUGAGUAUGGACGAGGUUGGCGGAAUUGAGGGUGUAGCGGUGAAAUGCUUAGAUACCCUCAAGAACACCGAUUGCGUAGGCAGCUAACUAGGCCAUAACUGACGCUGAGGCACGAAAGCGUGGGGAGCGAAC